AUUGAACGCUGGCGGCAGGCUUAACACAUGCAAGUCGAGCGGGGUGAUGGUGCUUGCACUAUCACUUAGCGGCGGACGGGUGAGUAAUGCUUAGGAAUCUGCCUAUUAGUGGGGGACAACAUCUCGAAAGGGAUGCUAAUACCGCAUACGUCCUACGGGAGAAAGCAGGGGAUCACUUGUGACCUUGCGCUAAUAGAUGAGCCUAAGUCGGAUUAGCUAGUUGGUGGGGUAAAGGCCUACCAAGGCGACGAUCUGUAGCGGGUCUGAGAGGAUGGUCCCGCACACUGGGAAUUAGACACCGGCCAGACUCCUACGGGAGGCAGGAGUGGGGAAUAUUGGACAAUUGGGGGGAACCCUGAUCCAGCCAUGCCGCGUGUGUGAAGAAGGCCUUAUGGUUGUAAAGCACUUUAAGCGAGGAGGAGGCUCUUUUGGUUAAUACCCAAGAUGAGUGGACGUUACUCGCAGAAUAAGCACCGGCUAACUCUGUGCCAGCCGCCGCCGUAA
RNAcentral lists this ribosomal RNA (504 nucleotides) under uncultured bacterium. RNAcentral's name for it is "partial 16S ribosomal RNA". It matches the Rfam family "Bacterial small subunit ribosomal RNA", at positions 30 to 523 of the family's 1533-position model. The record is from RNAcentral.